RNAcentral lists this ribosomal RNA (471 nucleotides) under uncultured fungus. RNAcentral describes it as "eukaryotic LSU rRNA". The stretch from base 106 to 259 matches the Rfam family "5.8S ribosomal RNA". The record is from RNAcentral. Lineage: Eukaryota; Fungi.
UGCCUCGGCGGAUCAGCCCGCGCCCUGUAAAACGGGACGGCCCGCCCGAGGACCCUAAACUCUGUUUCUAGUGGAACUUCUGAGUAAAACAAACAAAUAAAUCAAAACUUUCAACAACGGAUCUCUUGGUUCUGGCAUCGAUGAAGAACGCAGCAAAAUGCGAUAAGUAAUGUGAAUUGCAGAAUUCAGUGAAUCAUCGAAUCUUUGAACGCACAUUGCGCCCGCCAGUAUUCUGGCGGGCAUGCCUGUUCGAGCGUCAUUUCAACCCUCAAGCUCUGCUUGGUGUUGGGACUCGCGGUAACCCGCGUUCCCCAAAUCGAUUGGCGGUCACGUCGAGCUUCCAUAGCGUAGUAAUCAUACACCUCGUUACUGGUAAUCGUCGCGGCCACGCCGUAAAACCCCAACUUCUGAAUGUUGACCUCGGAUCAGGUAGGAAUACCCGCUGAACUUAAGCAUAUCAAUAAGCGGAGG